Molecule: long non-coding RNA, 301 nt
Organism: Sinocyclocheilus anshuiensis
Lineage: Eukaryota; Metazoa; Chordata; Actinopteri; Cypriniformes; Cyprinidae
Exons: 2
Source: RefSeq, a predicted model, not a curated record
GUGAUUCUGUGAUGUGACAGAUACUUACUGCAAUGGAUUCCUCAGAUGUUAAGUCUGAACUACAUGAUGACUGCAGGUCAGCGGAUUCAGACCCUUCAACAGGACCAACAUCAUUCUUCUCGCAUACUUCCAUCUCCUGUUCUUUAGCUCCAUCUUUUAAACUUUGUAAUGUAGAUUCAUCUAGACUGGGUUCAUCCUCCAAACUAAUUGUUUCUUUCUCUACAUUGAUCAUACCUUCACUGUCAGGUGUCUCAUUUUCAUCAUGAUGUUCUUUUUCUUUUCUUUGUCCAUGUUUCCCUCU